RNAcentral lists this ribosomal RNA (340 nucleotides) under Ammothea hilgendorfi. Its description in RNAcentral is "partial 12S ribosomal RNA". Lineage: Eukaryota; Metazoa; Arthropoda; Pycnogonida; Pantopoda; Ammotheidae. The record is from RNAcentral.
UAUUAGUUAAGGUCUUUAAAAUUUAAAGAAUUUGGCGGUAAAUUAAUUUUAUUAGAGGAAUUUGUUAUGUAAAUGAUAAUACGCAAUUUAUCUUUCUUUAAUUAUUUAAAAAAUUUUAAUUUAUAUAUCGUUGUUUAGAAUAUUUUUAUAGGAUUAAUUUUCUUAGAUUUAUUUAAUUGAAAAUCAGAUCAAGAUGUAGUUUAUAUUAAAGAAAUAAAUGAAUUACAUUUUUGUAAAAAAAUUACGAAUAAUAAUAUUGUAAUAUUUUUUUGAAGGCGGAUUUAAAAGUAAUAAUUUAUUAAAAUGAUUUUAUGAAUGUAUAUAUAAGUUUCUAAUUUAU